GACGAACGCUGGCGGCGUGCUUAACACAUGCAAGUCGAACGGAAAGGCCCUUCGGGGUACUCGAGUGGCGAACGGGGGAGUAACACGUGGGUGAUCCGCCCUGCACGUUGGGAUAAGCCUGGGAAACUGGGUCUAAUACCGAAUAGCACCACGCGCUUCAUGGUGUGUGGUGGAAAGCUUUUGCGGUGUGGGAUGGGCCCGCGGCCUAUCAGCUUGUUGGUGGGGUAAUGGCCUACCAAGGCGACGACGGGUAGCCGGCCUGAGAGGGUGACCGGCCACACUGGGACUGAGAUACGGCCCAGACUGCUACGGGAGGCAGCAGUGGGGAAUAUUGCACAAUGGGCGCAAGCCUGAUGCAGCGACGCCGCGUGAGGGAUGACGGCCUUCGGGUUGUAAACCUCUUUCACCAGGGACGAAGCGUAAGUGACGGUACCUGGAGAAGAAGCACCGGCCAACUACGUG
RNAcentral lists this ribosomal RNA (462 nucleotides) under uncultured bacterium. RNAcentral describes it as "partial 16S ribosomal RNA". It matches the Rfam family "Bacterial small subunit ribosomal RNA", at positions 28 to 507 of the family's 1533-position model. The record is from RNAcentral.